CAGCCGCGGUAAUUCCAGCUCCAAUAGCGUAUAUUAAAGUUGUUGCAGUUAAAAAGCUCGUAGUUGAAUUUCGGGAUCAAUAUUUCGGUCAUGCCGUUGGUAUGCACUGUUAUCAUUGAUUUCUCACCUUCUAAAGAACCGUAAUGCCAUUAAUUUGGUGUUACGGGGAAUUAGGACUGUUACCUUGAAAAAAUUAGAGUGUUUAAAGCAGGCUCACGCUUGAAUACAUUAGCAUGGAAUAAUGAAAUAGGACAUCCGAUUCAAUUUUGUUGGUUUCUAGGAUCGAUGUAAUGAUUAAUAGGGAUAGUUGGGGGCAUUAGUAUUCAAUUGUCAGAGGUGAAAUUCUUGGAUUUAUUGAAGACUAACUACUGCGAAAGCAUUUGCCAAGGAUGUUUUCAUUAAUCAAGAACGAAAGUUAGGGAUCGAAGACGAUCAGAUACCGUCGUAGUCUUAACCAUAAACUAUGCCGACUAGGGAUCGGAUGAUGUUAAUUUAUAAUGACUCAUUCGGCACCUUACGGGAAAC
Molecule: ribosomal RNA, 525 nt
Filed under: uncultured Glomeromycotina
Lineage: Eukaryota; Fungi; Glomeromycota
Description: SSU rRNA
Rfam family: Eukaryotic small subunit ribosomal RNA
Source: RNAcentral